AACGAACGCUGGCGGCAGGCUUAACACAUGCCAGUCGAGCGCAUCCUUCGGGGUGAGCGGCGGACGGGUGAGUAACGCGUGGGAACGUGCCCUCUUCUACGGAAUAGCCUCGGGAAACUGAGAAUAAUGCCGUAUACGCCCGCAAGGGGAAAGAUUUAUCGGAGGAGGAUCGGCCCGCGUUGGAUUAGGUAGUUGGUGGGGUAACGGCCUACCAAGCCGACGAUCCAUAGCUGGUUUGAGAGGAUGAUCAGCCACACUGGGACUGAGACACGGCCCAGACUCCUACGGGAGGCAGCAGUGGGGAAUCUUGGACAAUGGGGGCAACCCUGAUCCAGCCAUGCCGCGUGAGCGAUGAAGGCCUUAGGGUUGUAAAGAUCUUUCAGCUGGGAAGAUAAUGACGGUACCAGCAGAAGAAGCCCCGGCUAACUCCGUG
RNAcentral lists this ribosomal RNA (433 nucleotides) under uncultured bacterium. Its description in RNAcentral is "partial 16S ribosomal RNA". It matches the Rfam family "Bacterial small subunit ribosomal RNA", at positions 29 to 507 of the family's 1533-position model. The record is from RNAcentral.